GUUCCCUUAGUAUCAACUAGUACAUCUGACUUCCAAUCAGCUAGCUCCGGUGCACCCCGGAAAGGAAUA
Molecule: transfer RNA, 69 nt
Filed under: Desmodus rotundus (common vampire bat)
Lineage: Eukaryota; Metazoa; Chordata; Mammalia; Chiroptera; Phyllostomidae
Description: transfer RNA-Gly
Source: RNAcentral